This 955-nucleotide non-coding RNA is filed under the name Dentex hypselosomus. RNAcentral describes it as "12S ribosomal RNA". It matches the Rfam family "Bacterial small subunit ribosomal RNA". The record is from RNAcentral. Lineage: Eukaryota; Metazoa; Chordata; Actinopteri; Spariformes; Sparidae.
CAAAGGUUUGGUCCUGACUUUUCUGCCAACUCUAGCUAAACUUACACAUGCAAGUAUCCGCGCCCCCGUGAGAAUGCCCUAUAGUUCCCUGCCCGGAAACAAGGAGCUGGUAUCAGGCACACUCAAUUCAUGCCCACGACACCUUGCUCAGCCACACCCCCAAGGGUACUCAGCAGUGAUAAACCUUGACACAUAAGUGAAAACUUGACUCAGUUAAAGCUAAGAGGGCCGGUAAAACUCGUGCCAGCCACCGCGGUUAUACGGGAGGCCCAAGUUGUUAGAAAUCGGCGUAAAGGGUGGUUAAGAACAAGCUUGACACUAAAGCCGAACGCCUUCCGGGCUGUUAUACGCAUCCGAAGGUAAGAAGUUCAAUUACGAAAGUAGCUUUAUAUAUUCUGACCCCACGAAAGCUAAGACACAAACUGGGAUUAGAUACCCCACUAUGCUUAGCCAUAAACAUUGACAGUUUAGUACAUUUUCUGUCCGCCCGGGUACUACGAGCAUUAGCUUAAAACCCAAAGGACUUGGCGGUGCUUUAGACCCACCUAGAGGAGCCUGUUCUAGAACCGAUAAUCCCCGUUCAACCUCACCCUUCCUUGCUCGUCCCGCCUAUAUACCACCGUCGCCAGCUUACCCUGUGAAGGGUAAAAAGUAAGCAAAAUUGGCAUUGCCCAGUACGUCAGGUCGAGGUGUAGCGAAUGGAGGGGGAAGAAAUGGGCUACAUUCCCUCAAUAACACAGGGAACUACGGAAGAUGCACUGAAACCCGUGCAUCUGAAGGAGGAUUUAGCAGUAAGCGGAAAGUAGAGUGUUCCACUGAAACCGGCUCUUAAGCGCGCACACACCGCCCGUCACUCUCCCCGAAACUUUACCCAAACAUUAAUUAAAAUGCCAAAAUCAUAGAGGGGAGGCAAGUCGUAACAUGGUAAGUGUACCGGAAGGUGCACUUGGAUAAC